AAACGGCGUCCUUUUUGACCCAAUAUAAAUAGCUAAAAUCAGAUAAAAAAAAAAAGCAUUUUCACUUUCAUUUUUCUCAGAAACAGAGAGGGAUCCUCUCAAACUCUCUCAACACCCCAUCCGGUCUAUGGGUUCCCGGCCAAAGGCCACCGUCGGCCCCGUCUCGCCGGCCACCGUACGCUGUGGCCGGAAAAUCAUAAAAAUGCAAGUGGUGAUUGGACGGUGGCAGGUGCGGCGCGGAGUGGCGGUGGCAGAGACCAAAGGUCAAAGAGGGCGGCGCCUAGGGUUUCAGAGACCUGAAACCCUAGGCAGAUAUUUUUUGGGAAGGAUGGGCUAGGGUAUUGGGCUGGUUUUGUAAUUGGGCUUGUGGGUUAUUGGGUAGGUUAGUUGGGCUUGGUUUUGCUGGGUUAGGUCUGUUAGGGGCUAAAUUUGGGUUGUUGGGCUAUUCGGGUUUUGUAUUGUAAUUGGGCCCGGGUUUUAAAAAUUGGGCUUGUACAUGGUGUAUAUAACUAUAAAUGAAAUAUCAACAGGAUUUGAAUAAAAAUAUUAUAUUUGAAA
Molecule: long non-coding RNA, 558 nt
Organism: Gossypium raimondii (Peruvian cotton)
Lineage: Eukaryota; Viridiplantae; Streptophyta; Magnoliopsida; Malvales; Malvaceae
Exons: 2
Source: RefSeq, a predicted model, not a curated record